AAAAGGCCGAAUAUCUAAGGUUUCCAGGGUAAAGCUGAUCUUCCCUGGGUAAGUCGGGGCCUAAGGCGAGGGCGAGAGCCGUAGUCGGUGGAUAACAGGUUGAAAUUCCUGUACUGCUUAUGGACAGAACUGUGGGGACGCAGAAGGAGAGCACGAGCCGGAAAUGGAAAAGCCGGUACAAGCGUAUAGCAGUCAUGCAGGCAAAACCGCAUGAAGAAUGUAAAGCGUUAUGUGGAUCGAACAUUAGUAGAGAAGCGUGUGAGCCAGCUGCCAAGAAAAGCCGCUAUUGCUUCAUAAGUACCCGUACCGUAAACCGACACAGGUGGAUGAGGAGAGAAUCCUAAGGCCGGCGGGAGAAGUGUUGUUAAGGAACUCGGCAAAAUGACUCCGUAACUUCGGGAGAAGGAGUGCCACAGAGAUGUGGCCGCAGAGAAAUGGCCCAAGCAACUGUUUAGCAAAAACACAGGUCUAUGCAAAACCGAAAGGUGAGGUAUAUGGGCUGACGCCUGCCCGGUGCUGGAAGGUUAAGAGGAGAGGUUAGAGCAAUCGAAGCUUUGAAUUUAAGCCCCAGUAAACGGCGGCCGUAACUAUAACGGUCCUAAGGUAGCGAAAUUCCUUGUCGGGUAAGUUCCGACCCGCACGAAAGGCGUAAUGAUUUGGGCACUGUCUCAACAACACACCCGGUGAAAUUGAAAUACCAGUGAAGAUGCUGGUUACCUGCGCCAGGACGGAAAGACCCCAUGGAGCUUUACUCCAGUUUGAUACUGGGAUUCGGUACUGUCUGUACAGGAUAGGUGGGAGGCUAGGAAAUGGUGACGCCAGUUGCCAUGGAGCCAACCUUGGGAUACCACCCUUACAGUACUGGGUUUCUAACCUGCAGCCGUAACCCGGCUGGGGGACAAUGUCUGACGGGGAGUUUGACUGGGGCGGUCGCCUCCGAAAGAGUAUCGGAGGCGCUCAAAGGUUCCCUCAGAACGGUUGGAAACCGUUCGAAGAGUGCAAAGGCAGAAGGGAGCUUGACUGCGACACCGACGGGUGGAGCAGAUACGAAAGUAGGACUUAGUGAUCCGGUGGUAUAAAGUGGGAUUGCCAUCGCUCAACGGAUAAAAGCUACCCUGGGAUAACAGGCUUAUCACUCCCAAGAGUUCACAUCGACGGAGUGGUUUGGCACCUCGAUGUCGGCUCAUCGCAUCCUGGAGCUGUAGCAGGUUCCAAGGGUUGGGCUGUUCGCCCAUUAAAGCGGUACGCGAGCUGGGUUCAGGACGUCGUGAGACAGUUCGGUCCCUAUCCGGCGUGGGCGUAGGAUAUUUGAGAGGAGCUGUCCUUAGUACGAGAGGACCGGGAUGGACAAACCUCUGGUGUAUCUGUUGUCUUACCAAAGGCAUGGCAGAGUAGCCAAGUUUGGCAGGGAUAAACGCUGAAGGCAUCUAAGCGUGAAGCCCCCCUCAAGAUAAGAUAUCCCAUCUUCGGAGUAAGACCCCUUGAAGACUACAAGGUUGAUAGGCUUUGUGUGUAAGUGCGGUAACGCACUCAGCUGAGAAGUACUAAUAGGUCGAGGACUUAUC
Molecule: ribosomal RNA, 1565 nt
Filed under: metagenome
Description: bacterial LSU rRNA
Rfam family: Bacterial large subunit ribosomal RNA
Source: RNAcentral